UUAUGCGAUACUUGGUGUGAAUUGCAGAAUUCAGUGUAUCAUCGAAUCUUUGAACGCACCUUGCGCUCCUUGGUAUUCCGAGGAGCAUGCCUGUUUGAGUGUCAUUAAAUUCUCAACCUCACCCGUUUUCUGAAUGGACUGAGGCUUGGAGUGGGGGUUUGUGCAGGCUGCCUUCUUGUGCGGUCUGCUCCCCUGAAAUGCAUUAGCGAGUUCAUACUGAACUUCCGUCUAUUGGUGUGAUAAUUAUCUACGCCGUGGAUGAGGUUUAGACUUGCUUCUAACCGUCNGCAAGGACAAUACCUUGACAAUUUGACCUCAAAUCAGGUAGGACUCCCCGCUGAACUUAAGCAUAUCAAUAAGCGGAGGAA
RNAcentral lists this ribosomal RNA (368 nucleotides) under Coprinellus sp. BAB-3631. RNAcentral's name for it is "eukaryotic LSU rRNA". The stretch from base 1 to 104 matches the Rfam family "5.8S ribosomal RNA", at positions 51 to 154 of the family's 154-position model. The record is from RNAcentral. Lineage: Eukaryota; Fungi; Basidiomycota; Agaricomycetes; Agaricales; Psathyrellaceae.